AUCUGAAAGAGAUUUAAAGAUUUAUCGGUGAUGGAUGGGGAUGCGUCUGAUUAGCUUGUUGGCGGGGUUAACGGCCCACCAAGGCGACGAUCAGUAGGGGUUCUGAGAGGAAGGUCCCCCACAUUGGAACUGAGACACGGUCCAAACUCCUACGGGAGGCAGCAGUGAGGAAUAUUGGUCAAUGGACGAGAGUCUGAACCAGCCAAGUAGCGUGCAGGAUGACGGCCCUAUGGGUUGUAAACUGCUUUUAUAAGGGAAUAAAGUGGGAGUCGUGACUCUUUUUGCAUGUACCUUAUGAAUAAGGACCGGCUAAUUCCGUG
This 320-nucleotide ribosomal RNA is filed under the name uncultured bacterium. RNAcentral's name for it is "bacterial SSU rRNA". It matches the Rfam family "Bacterial small subunit ribosomal RNA", at positions 188 to 507 of the family's 1533-position model. The record is from RNAcentral.